UCUGAAAACAAACGCGUCGUUAAGCUUCGUAGUUUCGCAUAAGUCGUAGUGGCAACACCGUAAAUACGUAAGAGCAAUGGUAAGCUAAAUACGUAAUAUUCUCGCACAGAGAGAAAAUUGUAUAUCAGCUUGCACGUGACCUAAUUGGAACUCGCUGGACAAUAGCAGCGAACAGAAUGAGAUUGGUAAAUUCUGAUAUCCAAAGUGCAACGUUUCUUUCCAAUAACACUGAAUCCUACUUUUUUAUCACUUUGGCUUUUCGAGAAAUCUGCAGAAAUUCCCGUUACACUGUACGGUUCGUUCGUUAAAUCGAACGUUCGAAUAUCUUCCCCGAAAAGAACAAGAGAAAAGAAAAAUUGGAAGGUAAGGCUGUAGUAAAGCUCAAGGAUGGAAUUUCGCUUACAUCAUCGAGUUAGUUUACCUGCAGAGGUUCGAGCGUAUUAAUUUUCCUAUAUCGACAUUUACGAUCAAGGGUGAAUCGAUAUACGAAGAACGACGAGCAACGCCAAUUAGAGAAAGCUAGGCUGAAUUUGGACGAAGAAGGAAAGUGGGAACGAGGACAAGGUAGGAAAAGAGAAGAAGUGGAAGAGGAAGUGGAAGAGGAAGAGGAAAAGGUACGGUUUCAGGAGGUUAACAGGGGGGGGGGGAGGAGAGAGAGAGCCGGAUAGGUGGGAAUUCUGGCUGGUGGUUGGGUUGGCAAGGGAGGGCCUGUGGUGCUAGAGCAUUUGGUAUCCGUGGUUCUGUACGGUAGCGGCUAGGCAAAAGGGGGCUAGAGGAGAGCAGGGUCGAUGACCCUUGCACGUGGAGUGUUCGGAAGUAGGCCACGCCGUGACAUCACGCAAAAGCAAGAUGGCAGUCGGGAAACGGGCACAUUCUCACAAGUAUGCUCGGCAUACGACUCGACGGAGACGUGCCGACGCCUGUGCAAUCGAAUCUUUUCCUUGGGCGAGGGUGCGUUCCGAUAUUCAACGCCAUCUCUCAUCACGACCUCUUCCUUCUUCUCUCUCCAUCUUCCUGCUAUCGGUCUUCUGCUCUUGUCGCGUUUCAAGCAUCGCGGUUCGAUGCGUGCCAAUGUUUGCGGUGACUAUCGGAAAUCGGAACGCGUAAUUUUCAUGCAGCUGCCGGCCGAGUUGCAUCAGCGUCUCCCAACUCGCGUGCAUCGAACGUGUCACGAUAGCUGGAAAUUUUCCGACUGCUUCCAGCUAAAUCCGCUACAUCUUCUAAUAAACGUUCGCUCGGGCAGCAAUACGUCACGUUUCACGAGUUUGCUCCGCUAAAUUUUACAUCGUGCUUUGUUAAGGUCUCGUGAUAACGUCUCGUGAUAUUCGAUGAGAAUGUUGCGUCUCGUUCAACGACCGAACGCCCCCCCAAAAAAAAGAAAGAAAAUAAAAAGAAGAAAAGAAUCGUUCAAGUUGUCAGCAGGAAAAAAGACGAGCGCAAUUACUCGGUUGGUAUCGUCGCGUUCGAGUGAAAUAAUCAGUGCCGACGGGAAUUGUCGUACGAUUACGCGUUAUACAAUCGCGAGACAAACAAAAACUUUAUUACCAGCGAAUAAUCCCGAGCGUGAUCGUUUCAAGCGAUUAGACAGAUCGUACGACGUUAGAACGUAACGGACAGCGAAUCGUGAAAAUCGCGGGUCGCACGGAAUCACGAACAUCGAAGGCAUUGCGCGCGCGCCAUCCGUGUCCGUAUGCAUUGCGUGGAGUCGCGUUGCGUAUUCGUCGUGCGUGUGCACGGAUGCAACCGCGGAUAGCGUUCUUUAUUCGGAACGUGCGAGCGCGAGAACGUGAGCAGGUAUAUGGCACCGUUGAAUAUUGGACGAAAGUCAAAUUCAUCUUACAUUAUUUUAGCGUCCGCGGCGAGCCGAUGUAUUACAGAAAUACGAGCUCGUCUGUAGCGUGCGUGCGAGCGUCUAUGAUUUCUGUUUGUAUUUUAAUUGCGAUGAUGUAAGCUCAUGCGGAUGCACACACCAAGUUUUCCUUGCUCCAUCUACCGUUUCGUCUCUUUCGAUUUCGGAAUUUUCGAUACGUACAUACUUAAAGUAGUCAAGUUUCGGCCAGGCGUAUAAACGUACGAAGAAUCGUAUUUAUGUAAGUACAUGUACGUAACACGUAUAUCGUCGUUAUCAGGUAUGCGUGAUAUGAUAGGGAAUUUUAUAGGGAAUUAUAAAAUACAACGCGAAGACGAAAAGUGUUUCCUUCCUGAAAAAUCUAUUGCGUUUGUAACAACGAAAAUUCUUUAGACGAUAGAACCUGGCAAUUGUUCGACGGAAAGUACAAAGUCUAGUACGAGUUGGUAUACUACAGACAUAGAAGUGUACCUACUUGCGAUGCAAUUACGAUGAUGUAACGCGUAUAUCUUAUCGGAAAAUUUUAUUUCUAAUUCCAUUUCUAUCUGUUCAUAAAAUAAACGUUUAUUUCAGAGUUUGUGCUUUGUUUCACGCUUCCACUUUAGACGUUAAAUAACUGUAUGCGAAUGUAAUUAAGUUAUUUGUAAACGUAUUGAACAACAUUUAAAAAGAAGUUACGUAAAUAAAUCGUUUUCCAUGAAACGUA
This is a long non-coding RNA of Bombus pyrosoma, 2555 nucleotides long. RefSeq lists it as uncharacterized. NCBI's taxonomy places the organism in Eukaryota, Metazoa, Arthropoda, Insecta, Hymenoptera, Apidae. The record is from RefSeq and is a predicted model, not a curated record. The transcript is spliced from 2 exons.